AUGCAGUUGCAGCUAGCGUACGUCUCACUAUUAGUUCAGAAGGCACGGACCAGGUCAAAUUCAGUUUCAACUUUUAUUUUGUCUUUGGCGCGCAACACAUGGAACAGGUUAAAUGCAAAGUUGUCACUUUGUUAUUACUGCUGCCUGCUGGCCGGUGGUGUAGGAUGCAAGACUACCGACGACGGCGAGAGGCGGAAGAGAACAAGCACAUGGAAAAGAACAACCAACCAAUCACCUCAAGAUGGGACUCUACCUACUGGCACUGCCAAGCGCCUACUCGUCGCCGUCUCCGCCGCCGCCGAAGAGCACGGACCGGUAGUAGAGAAGGACGAGGACGAGGACCAGCAUGAGCGCCACGCCGAUGGCGGAUUCCCCAACGUGGUGCACAGCGUCGGGCGAGCCGCCGAACGCGAACACGUCAAGGCCGCGGUAGGAGGAUAG
This 441-nucleotide ribosomal RNA is filed under the name Triticum aestivum (bread wheat). RNAcentral describes it as "partial small subunit ribosomal RNA". Lineage: Eukaryota; Viridiplantae; Streptophyta; Magnoliopsida; Poales; Poaceae. The record is from RNAcentral.